Vicia faba (fava bean) is the source of this 210-nucleotide non-coding RNA. Lineage: Eukaryota; Viridiplantae; Streptophyta; Magnoliopsida; Fabales; Fabaceae. The record is from the annotation of a GenBank genome assembly.
AUGAUCGUAGAAGACGAGGGUGCGUCGAGCUAUCUCCGGCGCGGUUUUGACGAUGACGAUGUUCUGCUGGAGGGGGUCGCGGAUGGAACUGUCGGAUGUGUGUCGUGGGCCGGCGUCGGAGUCGUAUGUUUGUAUCGGCGGAAUCACGACUGUGAGUGGCUGGGGCGGAAUCCUCUGAUGGGCUUCAAGCGUCGGAAGGAGGCAGUCUAG